UACGAAUGUGGCAAGCGUUGUUCGGAAUCACUGGGCGUAAAGAAUGCGUAGGCGGCUUAACAAGUCAGGAGUGAAAUCCCAGGGCUUAACCCUGGAACUGCUCUUGAAACUGUUUUGCUAGAGUCCCGGAGGGGUUGGCGGAAUUCCGAGUGUAGAGGUGAAAUUCGCAGAUAUUCGGAGGAACACCAGUGGCGUAGGCGGCCAACUGGACGGGAACUGACGCUGAGGCAUGAAAGUGUGGGGAUCAAACAGG
This 253-nucleotide ribosomal RNA is filed under the name uncultured bacterium. RNAcentral's name for it is "partial 16S ribosomal RNA". It matches the Rfam family "Bacterial small subunit ribosomal RNA", at positions 524 to 776 of the family's 1533-position model. The record is from RNAcentral.